RNAcentral lists this transfer RNA (90 nucleotides) under Candidatus Cloacimonadota bacterium. RNAcentral describes it as "tRNA-Ser". It matches the Rfam family "tRNA". Rfam says of the family: Transfer RNA (tRNA) molecules are approximately 80 nucleotides in length. Their secondary structure includes four short double-helical elements and three loops (D, anti-codon, and T loops). RNAcentral also lists the same sequence under 1 other name. The record is from RNAcentral. Lineage: Bacteria; Pseudomonadati; Candidatus Cloacimonadota.
GGAGAGUUGCCGGAGCGGUUGAUCGGGGCGGUCUCGAAAACCGUUGUGCCCUUGCGGGUACCCAGGGUUCGAAUCCCUGACUCUCCGCCA